Lathyrus oleraceus (garden pea) is the source of this 1323-nucleotide long non-coding RNA. RefSeq lists it as uncharacterized. The transcript is spliced from 4 exons. NCBI's taxonomy places the organism in Eukaryota, Viridiplantae, Streptophyta, Magnoliopsida, Fabales, Fabaceae. The record is from RefSeq and is a predicted model, not a curated record.
UAUUCACUCAGCAAUGAAACACGUGGUCCCAAGGUGGCCAAUGAAUCAGCAGCCGGCAUGCGCAUUAAUUACCAUCAAGACCAUUUACAGCAGAUGCAUUAAUCAGUCCACUAGGUGCAUAAAUUGGGAUUACAUUAAUCAACGGUUAAUUGAUGGUUAAUCAAAGCAAAUGGAUAGGAUAUCAGAACUAACAAUCCAACACACAACGUUCCACCACCUCAAAUCAAACCCACCUCUCUCGCUGUUUCCCUCUUCCGCCGCGCCGGAGGCCGUCCUCAGCGGCGAAGGCUCUACAAAAUUCAACUGGAUAACAACAUCUCACUCGAAAUCAUGCGCUAAUCGUGGAGCCAUAAGCGGAAUUCCUCAAUUUCCCCUGGAUUGUUCGAAUUAAAGAAAGGGAACAUAUGAACCAUAGCUAGAAGAAUCAAGAUUAAACGACCAUGGAGGGGAAUCGAGCCGGCUCAUCUUGGGGGUAUGAUUCCACUCGCGGAAUCCUAUCUCCUAAUGACCUUAGAAGGCAAACCAUAAGAAAGCGAUCGGAAGACUCACCAUAAUAUCCGCCGGCGCUAGAACUCAAUGGUGUCGCCUCAAUUCGGUUCAAUGUCCGAUCCCAACCAAAUGUCAAAGGCGCGAAAUUGAAACUUAAUAUGGACUUAAGUGAAAUCGAAGAUUCACCGUUGCAGCAUCGACGACAGAACAAUGAAGAGUGAGUCGUGAUUGAAGAAUGAAACAAAAUGAAGAAUGGUGAAGAUGGAAAAAAAACUCCUCUGCAUCUAUGAAGGAUUUUCGUUCGUUUUUCUGUUGAUUUUGCAGAGAGAGUGAAAUGGAGAAGUUAAAGAUGAAGGUUGAAGCAUAUGAAGAAGGGAGCGAAGAAGAUUGAAGAAGAGGUGAAGUGAAGUGAUUGAAGAAUGAAGAAAGGAGAGUUAGGACUUGUGCACAUGACUUGGCUUGAGAACAACAUCAUCAUGGCAAGGCAUGAAAACCUUACAAGUAGUUGUUGGAGUUAUGGCCAUGCAGCCUUGUGCUUCAAAUUUAUUUUCCUUCCUCAGAAGAAGUAACAUCCAUAGGCCGGUCAGAACCAACAGUCCCUUUGUGAGCAUUCACAAGGUCCUGAAAAUCUUUGCUUGAGAUCAAAAGAUGGUGAUACGAAGCAGCUCGUAGUGUUUCUGCUGCCUUCCCUCUUUCGUCACAACUUUUACUCCCUUUUUUUUAUUUACUUGUUUUAUAGGAUGUGUAAAAAUAUUAUUCUAGAUAAUAGUUUGUAAUUUGUAUUCUAACGGAUAAUGAACAUUGGAUGUGCAAAAUGGAUAUGAAAUUUGGAUA